Molecule: ribosomal RNA, 253 nt
Filed under: uncultured bacterium
Lineage: Bacteria
Description: partial 16S ribosomal RNA
Rfam family: Bacterial small subunit ribosomal RNA
Source: RNAcentral
UACGUAGGGAGCAAGCGUUGUCCGGAAUCAUUGGGCGUAAAGCGCGCGUAGGCGGCCCCGUAAGUCCGCUGUGAAAGUCGAAGGCUCAACCUUUGAAAGCCGGUGGAUACUGUGGGGCUAGAGUCCGGAAGAGGCGAGUGGAAUUCCUGGUGUAGCGGUGAAAUGCGCAGAUAUCAGGAAGAACACCCGUGGCGAAAGCGGCUCUCUGGAACGGUACUGACGCUGAGACGCGAAAGCGUGGGGAGCGAACAGG